RNAcentral lists this long non-coding RNA (972 nucleotides) under Coffea arabica (coffee). RNAcentral describes it as "long non-coding RNA (CARA_LNC004127)". Lineage: Eukaryota; Viridiplantae; Streptophyta; Magnoliopsida; Gentianales; Rubiaceae. The record is from RNAcentral.
GGAGGAAAUCUAUUUUGGAUUUUUGCUGUCUGGUGGUGUUCUUGUGUCUGCUUGUUGUACUUUGUACGGAUCUUGCCAUCUCUGGUUCCCUGUAUGUGGAUUAGGUGCAUUGUUUGGAAUGGCCUUCGAGGAAUUAGAAAUCAAGUUCAUUUUUUUACCUAUCUGAAGUCUGGUGAAAUUAUGUAGCGUUCUCAUAGGGGUCAUGUUAAUGUGUCGAAGUAUAAUAUAGUUUGUAAAAUUUGGGAAAACAUGUAGCAUGUCUUAGAUGAUAGCGAUCUUGUAACUUUCUUAGCUAAUAUCUGUUGGAUUCUGGCCGGUGUAUGUGGUAAUAGGAGGUUCUUAGUUAUCAAAAAACAGAUUGAAGUAGCUUUCUGGAAAAUGUGUGUCCUGAGUUUUUGUUUUUGUUCAGAAGAAACAUGGUGUGUUGGAAAUCAUAAAUGAGAAUGUGGCAUCAUGGUAAUUCUCAUAAAUGAGAAUUGUGGUACAAUAAUGACAGUCAAUUUGGAGCACUACUUGCUGAAUGUGCUUUAAUAAAGAUUGGUAUGAAAAUUUGGUGUGUAGUUCUUAUGUGUCAUUUUUGCUGCUCCAUUGUACCAUGAAUACCCUGUUUUUUAGUUGUUGGUGCAUUUAAGGAUCAAUAGCUUGGGCUUACGCAUUAAUAAAGAUUGGUAUGAAAAUUUGGUGUGUAGUUCUUAUGUGUCAUUUUUGCUGCUCCAUUGUACCAUGAAUACCCUGUUUUUUAGUUGUUGGUGCAUUUAAGGAUCAAUAGCUUGGGCUUACGCAUGUUCUGUUUUGUUACUUUGAUUCGUUUGCUUUUUGUGUUUCUCAAAAAGCUUCCAAUUAUUACCUUGUCAUAUAAUUACUCUUACCACCAAUUAGUAGGGUUAUCCGGGUUAUCCCCCCUCCCCCAAAAAAAAAAAGGCCCCUGCUGUUUAAUUCAUUUAUCUGAUUUUUUGUCAGAUGCAUUGCUAG